UCAUCUGCUCACCAACCUAUCAACAUUUGGAUUCAUUGGCGAAAGGGUCUUAACACGAAUAUGCUCUCAAGAUUCCUGCGAUCCAUCAAAGAUUCGCGGUCAAAUCCAACAAGGAGUGUCUGUCUGCGACAUUUCUGCGCAAAUCUAAAGGCACAAAAUCACUGCAUCUUGGGGCCGCCGAAGAUCCCUCUCCUCGUUGAUAAAUAUGCUCGAUCCCACAGCCUCGAAUGGAUUUGGUUUUGGCUCUUCUUCCAAUCGCGAUCAUCGACCCCCAACUCCCAGAAUCUGAUCUUCUGUAAUCCGCCUUCCUCUUCAGUGGAUUUUGUCUUGUGUCGUGGCGGUAAUCGAAGACUGCUUAUGGUCUUGAUGAUUCUGUCGAGAACAAUUUCCCAGCCUUCAUGGAUCUCGCUACUCUCAGCCUCUGCUUCCUCCACUCCUUCUCCGUGUUCCUCCUCUACUGGUUCUAUGUGAUCUCAUGAACUGACUCACAUCGCUUCAUCCAUUCACUUCGAGUUCGAUCCGAUUUCGACUAGAAAGAGCAUGUCUUCCUUCCCGAUCCGCCGGGCUUCGAGUUCCGAGGGGGACUCGCAACCAGUGAUCGAUGAGAGGAAGAGGAAGCGGAUUCUCUCGAACCGGGAGUCCGCGCGGAGGUCAAGGAUGAAGAAGCAGCAGCAUCUAAACGAUCUGAUGAACCAAAUGGCGCACAUCAAGAUCCAAAACAGUCAGAUCGCGGAGCAGACCGAUCUCGUGACGCAGCAGUACACCAAGGUGGAAUCGGACAACGCCGUGCUGAGGGCGCAGCUGAGCGAGUUGAUGGAGAGGCUGCAGUCGGUGAACUCGGUGCUCCGGUUCGUGGAGGAGGCCAGUGGGAUGACCUUGGACAUACCCAGUAUACCGAGCUCUCUCCUGAAGCCAUGUAAGCUUCCGACCAUGGCCACUGCUGACAGAAUCCAGUUCUGAAAACUCCAUUGUUGUGCAAGGUAUGUCCUCGCCUGUCUCCAUCACUGUUCCAUCAGUUCCCCGGUUCUGUUGAUUGGUAUGUUUGAGCCAGUAACAUUAUCAUUCUGUAAGGAUGUUCUUCUGAUGUCUUAGAAGAGGCUACAACAUUUGAAUCUGAUUCCAUUGUAUCUGAUUCUACUUGGGUUACUCAAGAUUUGGAUGUGAGCACUUCACAGAAUCA
Molecule: RNA transcript, 1180 nt
Organism: Musa acuminata AAA Group (dessert banana)
Lineage: Eukaryota; Viridiplantae; Streptophyta; Magnoliopsida; Zingiberales; Musaceae
Exons: 2
Source: RefSeq, a predicted model, not a curated record